UGCCAGCAGCCGCGGUAAUACGGGGGGGGCAAGCGUUGUUCGGAAUUACUGGGCGUAAAGGGCUCGUAGGUGGCCAACUCAGUCGGACGUGAAAUCCCUCGGCUUAACCGGGGAACUGCGUCCGAUACUGGAUGGCUUGAGAUCGGGAGAGGGAUGCGGAAUUCCAGGUGUAGCGGUGAAAUGCGUAGAUAUCUGGAGGAACACCGGUGGCGAAGGCGGCAUCCUGGACCGACACUGACGCUGAGGAGCGAAAGCCAGGGGAGCAAACGGGAUUAGAUA
RNAcentral lists this ribosomal RNA (279 nucleotides) under uncultured bacterium. RNAcentral's name for it is "partial 16S ribosomal RNA". It matches the Rfam family "Bacterial small subunit ribosomal RNA", at positions 506 to 784 of the family's 1533-position model. The record is from RNAcentral.